CAGACAAACAAGAGGUGUCAAGCUUUGUGUAUGCCAAGCUGGACAAGCUGUAGGAGGGACACAUGUACCAUCCAGAUCAACAGGGAGGCAGGCUGGUCUGAAUGGUGCUGUAA
Molecule: long non-coding RNA, 113 nt
Filed under: Phascolarctos cinereus (koala)
Lineage: Eukaryota; Metazoa; Chordata; Mammalia; Diprotodontia; Phascolarctidae
Description: lncRNA (ENSPCIG00000003708.2)
Source: RNAcentral